AUUGAACGCUGGCGGCAUGCCUUACACAUGCAAGUCGAACGGCAGCGGGCCCUUCGGGGUGCCGGCGAGUGGCGAACGGGUGAGUAAUGCAUCGGAACGUACCCGGGAGAGGGGGAUAACCGGCCGAAAGGCUGGCUAUUACGCCAUGACCCCGAAGGGCCAAACGGGGGGACUUUCGGCCCCCGGCCCUUCGGGGCGGCCAAUGUCCGAUUAGGCUAGUUGGGGGGGUAAAGGCCCACCAAGGCGACGAUCGGUAGCGGGUCUGAGAGGACGAUCCGCCACACUGGGACUGAGACACGGCCCAGACUCCUACGGGAGGCAGCAGUGGGGAAUCUUGGACAAUGGGCGCAAGCCUGAUCCAGCAAUGCCGCGUGGGUGAAGAAGGCCUUCGGGUUGUAAAGCCCUUUCGGCGGGGAAGAAAUCGGUCAGGCGAAUAGUCUGGCCGGAUGACGGUACCCGCAGAAGAAGCACCGGCUAACUACGUG
Molecule: ribosomal RNA, 485 nt
Filed under: uncultured bacterium
Lineage: Bacteria
Description: partial 16S ribosomal RNA
Rfam family: Bacterial small subunit ribosomal RNA
Source: RNAcentral